GAAUUUCUGGUGUAGGGGUAAAAUCCGUAGAGAUCAGAAGGAAUACCGAUUGCGAAGGCGAUCUACUGGAACAUUACUGACGCUCAGAUGCGAAAGCGUGGGGAGCAAACAGGAUUAGAUACCCUGGUAGUCCACGCCCUAAACGAUGUACACUAGUUGUUGCUAUACUAGAUAUGGCAGUAAUGCAGUUAACACUUUAAGUGUACCGCCUGGGGAGUACGGUCGCAAGAUUAAAACUCAAAGGAAUAGACGGGGACCCGCACAAGCGGUGGAGCAUGUGGUUUAAUUCGACGAUACGCGAAAAACCUUACCUGGCCUUGACAUAGUAGGAAUCUUUAAGAGAUUAGAGAGUGCUAGCUUGCUAGAACCUACAUACAGGUGCUGCACGGCUGUCGUCAGCUCGUGUCGUGAGGUGUUGGGUUAAGUCCCGCAACGAGCGCAACCCACGUGAUUAGUUGCUAACGGUUCGGCCGAGAACUCUAAUCAGACUGCCUUCGUAAGGAGGAGGAAGGUGUGGACGACGUCAAGUCAUCAUGGCCCUUACGGCCAGGGCUACACACGUGCUACAAUGGGAUAUACAAAGAGUCGCAAUACCGCGAGGUGGAGCAAAUCUAGAAAAUAUCUCCCAGUUCGGAUUGUUCUCUGCAACUCGAGAACAUGAAGUUGGAAUCGCUAGUAAUCGUGGAUCAGCAUUGCCACGGUGAAUACGUUCCCGGGUCUUGUACUCACCGCCCGUCACACCAUGGGAGUUGAUUUCAUUCGAAGCGGGGAUGCUAAAGUAGCUACCUUCCACAAUGGGAUUAGCGACUGGGGUGAAGUCGUAACAAGGUAACC
This 834-nucleotide ribosomal RNA is filed under the name uncultured bacterium. Its description in RNAcentral is "bacterial SSU rRNA". It matches the Rfam family "Bacterial small subunit ribosomal RNA", at positions 664 to 1501 of the family's 1533-position model. The record is from RNAcentral.